UUGUUGGCAAUUAUGUAAUCGAAACUAAAGCCCUAUUUGAUACAGGGCUAGAUUACUGCUAUAUUCCUGAAAACCUCAUUCCAAUCCAAAUUUUAGAACUCUUAGAAAAACCAACAAUCCCAAGUUCAAUAUCGAAUUCAAAUUUCCAAAUAUACAAAACCAAUUCUUAGUUACCUUUUUUUUAACUAAGUAUCUGACUAACCAUAUCAUUCUAGGAGCAUUCUUUCUCAACCAAUCAGUUCCUUUCCAAAUCACUUGUAAAGGGAUAAUAUCCCAACCUUUUAAUUCUAUAUUCUUUAAACUAACUAAUUCUUUGUGUAGAAGCAUAGCAGAAGAAGGAAACUCAUCGUCAUACAAUCCAGAGAAGAAACAAGCAAACAGCUAACUCUUCGACGGAUACUCUAAUUGGGUACAAACUUUUUUUGAAGAAAUAUCCAGCAACCAAACUAAUGAAGAACAAACAUCAUCAAACUGGAAUCAAGCCAGUGGAAGCCAAACAUCAAAUUGGAUUUGGAUCCUUGAUGAAUCAUCCUCAAAUUGGAUAUCUUCAUCUUCAAAUUGGAUACUUGCAGAAACAACUUCAAGUUGGAUACCUGAUGAAACAGUCUCAAACCAAUUCCAAGCAAUUGAUUAGACUUCAACAAUAAAUUGGAUUCAGGAAACUGAAUAGGAUGAAAAUUCGUUUCUAAUUCCUGAAGAUCCUACUACUCAAUCCUUCCAGAUCAAACUCAGAUAUAAUACUUUCUCACGUCUCUGGAUGGAAUAUCAUUACAUCUAAAAUGAGAGAAAAGAAUCCAGGAUUAGAAACUUUAAUAUUAUAUACCUUAACAAGGAUACUGGUGAAAGAAUCCCUUGCUAUACAACACACAGAUUCAAUCAUGUUGGAGCAGCAAACUCAAACUACUCGGUACAAACAUUAAAAGAACAAUGCUUCAUGCAGAGAAGAAACAUCCAAAGAAUGGUUCUCAACAAAGGAUUUGACAGUAAUCUUCUUUUCGUCCAGAUUUAUCAGCAUCUGAUUCGAUUAGAGGAUUUGACAGUUAGGCUUCUAAAAUAUUGACUUUUUAGUUGAAUUUGUAAGGUUGAGUUACAUGUCUAGAUUCAUGGUUUCUGAAAAAGGAUAAGGUUGGUUGUUUGAUAGGGGAGACAGGGUUUGUAAGUUUGGGCUGUUUAUUGGGCUUUGUAUGGUUGCUAGAUAGCCCAAACUGUUUGUAAAGAGGUCCAAAAUUUCUU
Molecule: long non-coding RNA, 1233 nt
Filed under: Coffea arabica (coffee)
Lineage: Eukaryota; Viridiplantae; Streptophyta; Magnoliopsida; Gentianales; Rubiaceae
Description: long non-coding RNA (CARA_LNC005688)
Source: RNAcentral